RNAcentral lists this long non-coding RNA (325 nucleotides) under Spirodela polyrhiza (greater duckweed). Its description in RNAcentral is "long non-coding RNA (SPOL_LNC000571)". The record is from RNAcentral. Lineage: Eukaryota; Viridiplantae; Streptophyta; Magnoliopsida; Alismatales; Araceae.
AGAGAGAGAGAGAGAGAGAGAGAGAGAGAGAGAGAGAGAGGGGUCCCGAGGUCUUCUUCCUCGGCAGAGCCGUUAUAGACGAACGCCAGACGGAGAAGAGUCGAUGCGGAGAACGAAGGAAAGAUCGACCUCCCGCGGAGCACCAGAUCGCGGUGUCGUCUCCACGGGGGGUGUCCACGUGCCUCCCCCCUUCAAACCGGAUAGCGUUCGAGAUAACUUGACCCGGACCUCCACGCGACGUCAGCAGGAGCGACACGUACCCCCUUCCGGUGGGCACCCGCCGGGUCCCCAACGGUCGUGACGAGUGCAGCCGAUCAGACGUCAU